CAUAUCAAUAAGCGGAGGAAAAGAAACUAACAAGGAUUCCCCUAGUAACUGCGAGUGAAGCGGGAAAAGCUCAAAUUUAAAAUCUGGCAGCCUUUGGUUGUCCGAGUUGUAUUCUGGAGAAGUGUUUUCCGUGCUGGACCGUGUACAAGUCUCUUGGAACAGAGCGUCAUAGAGGGUGAGAAUCCCGUCUUUGACACGGACUACCAGUGCUUUGUGAUGCGCUCUCAAAGAGUCGAGUUGUUUGGGAAUGCAGCUCAAAAUGGGUGGUGAAUUCCAUCUAAAGCUAAAUAUUGGCGAGAGACCGAUAGCGAACAAGUACCGUGAGGGAAAGAUGAAAAGCACUUUGGAAAGAGAGUUAAACAGUACGUGAAAUUGCUGAAAGGGAAACGCUUGAAGUCAGUCGUGUUGUACAGAACUCAGCCUUGCUUUUGCUUGGUGCAUUUUCUGAAUGACAGGCCAGCAUCAAUUUUGACUGUUGGAAAAGGGCUGGGGUAAUGUGGCACCUCCGGGUGUGUUAUAGACCCUGGUCACAUACAGCAGUUGGGAUUGAGGAACGCAGUGCGCCGUAAGGCAGGGGUUCGCCCACUUUCGCACUUUGGAUGCUGGCAUAAUGGCUUUAAACGACCCGUCUUGAAACACGGACCAAGGAGUCUAACAUACCUGCGAGUGUUUGGGUGGUAAACCCGAGCGCGUAAUGAAAGUGAAAGUUGAGACCUCUGUCGUGGAGGGCAUCAACGCCCGGACCUGACGUUUUCUGAAGGAUCCGCGGUAGAGCAUGCAUGUUGGGACCCGAAAGAUGGUGAACUAUGCCUGAAUAGGGUGAAGCCAGAGGAAACUCUGGUGGAGGCUCGUAGCGAUUCUGACGUGCAAAUCGAUCGUCAAAUUUGGGUAUAGGGGCGAAAGACUAAUCGAACCAUCUAGUAGCUGGU
This 929-nucleotide ribosomal RNA is filed under the name Pachykytospora sp. Wu 9809-95. RNAcentral's name for it is "eukaryotic LSU rRNA". It matches the Rfam family "Eukaryotic large subunit ribosomal RNA", at positions 39 to 955 of the family's 3401-position model. Lineage: Eukaryota; Fungi; Basidiomycota; Agaricomycetes; Polyporales; Polyporaceae. The record is from RNAcentral.